This is a long non-coding RNA of Magnolia sinica, 963 nucleotides long. RefSeq lists it as uncharacterized. The transcript has 2 exons. Lineage: Eukaryota; Viridiplantae; Streptophyta; Magnoliopsida; Magnoliales; Magnoliaceae. The record is from RefSeq and is a predicted model, not a curated record.
AUGAUCAUUUUCAGGUUUUGGUUUGUCCUAAUCGUUGGGGUAAGGUCCCAUGAAUGUGCACAUGACUUACUUUUUAUUGGACUAUCUUUAAUAGGCAAAAUCUCACACCACUUUACACAAGGGUUGAUUAGUCGUGGAAUCAAAUGUGGUGUUUGUCAUCGUUGCUAUAGCAAAAUUAGAACGGCAAGAAAGAGUACAAAAAAGAGAAGAAAAUACUUGAAGGAGCUUAGAAAAUUAAGAGUGUAACUGAAGCUUUUAGAUGCUGAACUUUACAUAAAGCUUAACUUUGAAGAGAGCUUAGAAAAUAUAUUACUUUUGAAAAUAAGGAAUCCAAUGGUUUGUUGGUAAUUUCACAUCAUAAUGAUGUUUUUUUUGGCCAAUUAACUUGAAGGGUCUCUAGUUCUAAUAGUAAGGGUGUUUUUUGGAACUCCUUUGAAAGUUAUUCUCUUUGAGAAGUCCUUAGGGCUCAUUGGUAGUGACCUUAAGUGUGUUGGAUUUUCUGAUUCACGUGGUUGGCGGGUGAUUGCAUGUAUCUGUAAGGAAUGGUCUCACCUUAAAAGGGAUGAAAAAAAAAACUUCCCAAAACCCGUCACGAGUUUGGGCGAAUGGCUUUGGUCUUGGGUUUGCUCCCUACAGACAUGAGUUUGUUUCCCCUCUCCGUGGGUUACCAAUCACGAGUUUGGGUGAACGACUUUGGUCGUGGGUUUGCUCCCCAUAGACACGAGUUCGGGAGAAUGACUUUGGUCGUGGGUUUGCUCCCCACAGACACGAGUUCGGGUGAAUGACUUUGGUCGUGGGUUUGCUCCCCACAGACACAAGUUCGAUUCCCUUUCCGGUGGAUUACUCGUCAUGAGCUUGGGUGAACGACUUUGGUCGUGGUUUUGCUUCCCACAGAUAGGAGUUCGAUUCCCCUCCUCGUGGAUUACUUGAUGCACGUGGUGUAAUAGGGGAUUUUUUUUUUUA